CAGCCGCCGCGGUAAUACGGAGGGCGCGAGCGUUACCCGGAUUCACUGGGCGUAAAGGGGGUGUAGGCGGCUCGGUAAGUCGGGUGUGAAAUCCCACGGCUCAACCGUGGAAUUGCGCCCGAAACUGCCGAGCUUGGGGCCGGUAGAGGGAGACGGAACUGCCGGUGUAGGGGUGAAAUCCGUAGAUAUCGGCAGGAACGCCGGUGGGGAAGCCGGUCUCCUGGGCCGCGCCCGACGCUGAGGCCCGAAAGCUAGGGGAGCAAACCGGAUUAGAUACCCGGGUAGUCCUAGCCGUAAACGAUGCCCACUAGGUGUGGGGGAGUAUUUCCUCCGUGCUGUAGCUAACGCGUUAAGUGGGCCGCCUGGGGAGUACGCCCGCAAGGGUGAAACUUAAAGGAAUUGGCGGG
This 407-nucleotide ribosomal RNA is filed under the name uncultured microorganism. RNAcentral describes it as "bacterial SSU rRNA". It matches the Rfam family "Bacterial small subunit ribosomal RNA", at positions 509 to 917 of the family's 1533-position model. The record is from RNAcentral.